GAUGAACGCUGGCGGCGUGCCUAAUACAUGCAAGUCGAGCGAACAGACGAGGAGCUUGCUCCUCUGACGUUAGCGGCGGACGGGUGAGUAACACGUGGAUAACCUACCUAUAAGACUGGGAUAACUUCGGGAAACCGGAGCUAAUACCGGAUAAUAUAUUGAACCGCAUGGUUCAAUAGUGAAAGACGGUUUUGCUGUCACUUAUAGAUGGAUCCGCGCCGCAUUAGCUAGUUGGUAAGGUAACGGCUUACCAAGGCAACGAUGCGUAGCCGACCUGAGAGGGUGAUCGGCCACACUGGAACUGAGACACGGUCCAGACUCCUACGGGAGGCAGCACUAGGGAAUCUUCCGCAAUGGGCGAAAGCUUGACGGAGCAACGCCGCGUGAGUGAUGAAGGUCUUCGGAUCGUAAAACUCUGUUAUUAGGGAAGAACAAAUGUGUAAGUAACUAUGCACGUCUUGACGGUACCUAAUCAGAAAGCCACGGCUAACUACGUG
RNAcentral lists this ribosomal RNA (497 nucleotides) under uncultured bacterium. Its description in RNAcentral is "partial 16S ribosomal RNA". It matches the Rfam family "Bacterial small subunit ribosomal RNA", at positions 28 to 507 of the family's 1533-position model. The record is from RNAcentral.